RNAcentral lists this ribosomal RNA (467 nucleotides) under uncultured bacterium. RNAcentral describes it as "partial 16S ribosomal RNA". It matches the Rfam family "Bacterial small subunit ribosomal RNA", at positions 29 to 507 of the family's 1533-position model. The record is from RNAcentral.
ACGAACGCUGGCGGCGUGCUUAACACAUGCAAGUCGAACGGAAAGACCCUGCUUUUGUGGGGUGCUCGAGUGGCGAACGGGUGAGUAACACGUGAGUAACCUGCCCUUGACUUUGGGAUAACUUCAGGAAACUGGGGCUAAUACCGGAUAGGAGCUCCUGCUGCAUGGUGGGGGUUGGAAAGUUUCGGCGGUUGGGGAUGGACUCGCGGCUUAUCAGCUUGUUGGUGGGGUAGUGGCUUACCAAGGCUUUGACGGGUAGCCGGCCUGAGAGGGUGACCGGCCACAUUGGGACUGAGAUACGGCCCACACUCCUACGGGAGGCAGCAGUGGGGAAUAUUGCACAAUGGGCGGAAGCCUGAUGCAGCAACGCCGCGUGCGGGAUGACGGCCUUCGGGUUGUAAACCGCUUUCGCCUGUGACGAAGCGUGAGUGACGGUAAUGGGUAAAGAAGCACCGGCUAACUACGUG